RNAcentral lists this ribosomal RNA (428 nucleotides) under uncultured bacterium. RNAcentral describes it as "bacterial SSU rRNA". It matches the Rfam family "Bacterial small subunit ribosomal RNA", at positions 355 to 796 of the family's 1533-position model. The record is from RNAcentral.
CCGAGAAUAUUCGACAAUGGGCGAAAGCCUGAUCGAGCGACACCGCGUGAUGGAUGAAGUCCCUAGGGACGUAAACAUCUUUUAUGAGGGAGAAAGUUUAUUGAUAGUACCUCAAGAAUAAGGGGUUGCUAAACUCGUGCCAGCAGAAGCGGUAAUACGAGUGCCCCGAGCGUUAUCCGGAAUCAUUGGGCGUAAAGGGUGUGUAGGUGGCAGUGUUAGUCAAUUGUUAAAACCCGGGGCUUAACCCCGGAACCGCGAUCGAAACGGCACAGCUAGAGGAUGGCAGGGAUGUAUGGAACUCAUGGAGUAGGGGUGAAAUCCGUUGAUAUCAUGGGGAACACCAAAAGCGAAGGCAGUACAUUGGGCCACUCCUGACACUGAAACACGAAAGCGUGGGUAGCGAAUGGGAUUAGAUACCCCGGUAGUCC